UAAUGUAUUUCUUCCACGUAUUUGAAGUAAUUUUUAAUUUAAAUCCAAACAUGUGAAUACCUGAAAGCUCCCCAAAAAAAGGACCAUACAAGAUGCACGCCGGACUUACAUAUUACAUCGGCCAUUCGACCCCUCACCUCGGCACUUUCUAAGUACAAACCGUUGUUCGUUUUCACGAUUUAAAUUUUAAAUCGCACGCGCGCGUGGCGCUGAUUACCGGCGCGUUUAUUUCGCCGUCGCGGUGACGUCGUCCCGGCUGACGACGGCGCGACGCCGUCCCGACACAUCGCCGCCAUCGCGAAACAUAUCUCGGAUUCGGCCGAGGUAAUUUAUCAGAACUGGAAGUCGAGAAAUUUGGUACCGUCGGAUUUGAUUAACUGCCACGGGGCCGGAGAAACUGCCAAAUUAGGGCUUACCCUAAAGACUUUUAUCUAUAGUCCUCUAAAAAAACCGAAAGUGCUGUUUGAAGAAAAUUGGUCCUACACCAUUUUUCAGGGAUGCAGCAAAGAAUUUUGCAAAAUUUUUACCUUACCUGGAAAAGAAAACGGGUUAUAGAGUUCUUCGAAAUCCUACGAAUAGUCAAAUGAUUCAACUAAUUAACCUAAAGUUAUAAAUAUUAAUAAAGAGGUUCUUUACAUAGCUGCUCAGAGCUAUACAAAAGGAUUUAGGUUUGCUUGCACAGUGGAUCAGGCCUAUUGUAGUUAGCUACCCAGAGAUCCGACCAACACCAUCCAACAGAAAGCCAAUAAACUAAUAACAAAUCUAAAGAAUCAAGGACAUUUGACGGAAGAGAUAGCUAAAAAUCUGAGAUUUUAUGGACAAACCUCACCUAAAUUUUAUGGCUUACCAAAAAUUCACAGCAGAUUGGCAAAGUUUUUGACUGAUAUACUGGAACAAUCAUGAAAUAGGAAUAACGAUUAUUAUAUAAAAGAUACUUUUGAUUUUGCCAAUUUCAUCAAUGGUAGACAAUUACCUAACAAUUAUGUACUUCAAUUAUGUUGUAUCACUAUUUAGCAAUAUUCCUUACGAUUAGUAGAGAUUAGUGAAAGAGGAUACUGGAAUGUAAUUUGUGAACAAAUUAGUAUCAGUUUUAUUAAUUUUUCAACUAUUUUAAAGUUUAUUUUUGACACUACCUAUUUCAAAUUUGAUAAUAAAUUUUAUAAAUAAAUACUGGAUACUCUUAUGGGAGCUACUAUUUCACUGAUCUCACAAUAUGUAAUGGACAAUUUACUAAAGUGUUGUGUUCCUAAACUUUCUUUUCAACUACCUUUCUUAAAAAAGUUUGUUGAUGACACAAUCUGUGCUGUACCUGAGGAUGGCAUUGAUGAGAUCCUUCGGGUUUUCAAUAGUUAUUAUCCCUUUAUACAAUUUACUGUAGA
Molecule: long non-coding RNA, 1379 nt
Organism: Anthonomus grandis grandis
Lineage: Eukaryota; Metazoa; Arthropoda; Insecta; Coleoptera; Curculionidae
Exons: 3
Source: RefSeq, a predicted model, not a curated record